RNAcentral lists this long non-coding RNA (645 nucleotides) under Citrus sinensis (sweet orange). RNAcentral describes it as "long non-coding RNA (CSIN_LNC005669)". Lineage: Eukaryota; Viridiplantae; Streptophyta; Magnoliopsida; Sapindales; Rutaceae. The record is from RNAcentral.
AAAAAAAAAAAAAAAAAAAGUGAUGAGAACAAAUUCAGUGUGAGUGUGAACAAAUAACAGAUUCAUUCAUGUCUCUGAUUCAAUCUCUAAUAGUCUUACAAGUUAAGCCAUUUUUAUAAUCGUAAUAUCAUCAAGUCUUUCUGAUGCAUGAUCUGAACUUCAGUGCCAGAGCCCAAAUAAAAAUGAGGCCCAAAAACAGUUGAGAGUGGGUAAAUGUGGCGAGCCAGAGCCAGAACCUGCUUUUGCUUUGUCAUUCCUUACUCUUUUUCUGAAAUUAACAAAUGGGUCCCAAAGUCUCUGGCUCACGUAGAAAAGGAAAAAAAAAAAGGAAAAAUCAAGCAAAACAUGCUAGGGUACUCACAUGUGCAAUCACACUGUAGCAGAUUCUUCGGGAAACUUUGCUGAACUCAGGUCUUUAAAAGGUGGGUUCCAAGUGGUGUAAUACUUAAAUGAGUUUGUAUUUAUAUGGACAACGGGGAGUCCAAUAACUUCUAAGUGGGGUUAUAAUUAACUGGAAGAAGAAGCAAAACUAGGGCAAAUUAAAAACUAAUCUCUAGAUAUACUUUUAAUGCACACGUUCAAUAAGAAUAUAUUCUUGUUUGAUGGUGACAAGUUAACAAACGACGGUAAUCAAGGAGAACGCGC